Molecule: long non-coding RNA, 1295 nt
Filed under: Salvia miltiorrhiza (redroot sage)
Lineage: Eukaryota; Viridiplantae; Streptophyta; Magnoliopsida; Lamiales; Lamiaceae
Description: long non-coding RNA (SMIL_LNC008576)
Source: RNAcentral
CAAAAUAGGGAAAUUAUGGAAUUUUAUCAUUAUUAUGGUAAAAGCUAUCAUUAAAUUCACAAUAGUGAAUUUUUUCAAAGUUAGGUGAUGAAAGUGAAAUUGUAUUGAAUUCGCACCUGAAUUGCAAUUAAUAAAUGGUGAGAAUUUUGAAAUUAUGCUGGGUCACUUUAUAGAAGAAAUACAUUUGAGAAUCAUUAGUAAAAUUUCUACGGGUUCACCCCUCCCCCAUCUCUCUCUCUCUCUCUUAGUUUUAUACUCUUGUCACGCAACUACAUCGCCGGCGAUCACCAGAAUCAAUGUGUCGCCAUCACGCAAGAUUCUGGUGAUUCCGAUGAUGUGGUUGUGAGCGGGCAAGCGAUGAGGUCCCCUUCACUGUUCUCUCGUCUCGUCUCCCUCUCAGAUCCGGCGAGCUCUGUCUCCGGCCACCGCCGCCGCCUAAUCUCCCUAGCUCGAACUCUGUCCUCUCUUGACAAUCCUCCUGUGUUCUCUCUCUAAUCACGAAAAAUCCCCAAAUUUCAGUAACCACCACCAUCUUCCUCCUCCCCUGCUUCGGCCAACAAUCGCACCCUUUCCCUCCUCCUUAUGCCGCCUUCAACACAAAAACAUCUUCUUUUGCUGGUUUGAGGAUAGUUUCUUUGCCCUGGAUUGGACAUGAAUAAUUCAUUUUAUAAUUUAUGCCCCUGAUCUUGUGAUAUUGUUUUCUUAACUUGACUGCAUUUGGUGCAGUCCAGUUUUCAAGAGAGGAAGAGAGGGGUGGCUUAAAAUGUUGACUUAUUCUAGGUUUGUCCUAUCUCAAUUCUGCUUUUCUGUAUUCCUGGCCAUUUUUUAUUCCCUCUUCCGUUAAGACAUAGAAUCGGGGCUUGAUUUUUUGCGUUUGCAGGGAUACUGUUUGAUUGCAAAGGAUCAGAUGUUGCGGAAUGAGACAUGAACUUGCCAAAAUAUGUGCCUCUGGUUUGGCCCAAAGUCUUGAUUUUGAGUCUAUGAGCUUCCACUGCUGAUUACAACGAUUGUCUCUCCAUUUUAUUUGUUUCUCAGAUCGCUCAUCACUAUGUUUAGGCCUUCUUGAUUUGCUAUUUUUUUUUUUGCUGUCUUGAGUAUAGAUUUUGUCAUGAUGUAAUAUAAUGCAUGUGCUAUACUUAACAAAUGUAUUUACAGAGUGAUACUUGGAAAAAUUUAAAUCAUUUUUCAAUCAGUUUUAUUUGUGAGAUUACACAAUUCAAUUUUAUGCAAGUGUGGCCUAUACAAACGUGAAUUUAUGGAUUUUGGUGGAAUUUUUAGGUCACAUAUGUGUAUUU